GUCUGGGGUCUCCCCCUCCUUCCCUAUAGGGAUCAUUUAGGGUCUUCCAUUCCUCCCCUAUAGGGAGCAUUUGGGGUCUGGGGUCUCCCCCUCCUCCCUAUAGGGAGCAUUUGGGGUCUGGGGUCUUCCCCUCCUCCCUAUAGGGAGCAUUUGGGGUCUCCCCCUCCUCCCUAUAGAGAUCAUUUAGGGUCUUCCAUUCCUUCCCUAUAGGGAGCAUUUGGGGU
Molecule: long non-coding RNA, 224 nt
Filed under: Coturnix japonica (Japanese quail)
Lineage: Eukaryota; Metazoa; Chordata; Aves; Galliformes; Phasianidae
Description: lncRNA (ENSCJPG00005001901.1)
Source: RNAcentral